UGGGCUAAGCGUAUUAUCAUAAGCCAUAAAGCGCUUAUCUAAUUGUUGUUCGAUGCAAUUACAUACAUCACGGCUACCUCGGCAAUGGUGCACGGUUAACGACGCCAUGGGCGUAGAUCGAUGAAGACAACGAGACAGAAAAAGAGAAACCGAACGCAGAGGUUGGCCAAGGGGUUGACGAUGGGUACGACAGGGGUUGAGCGAUCUCGGAAGGAGAGAAAAUGAAAAGUACGCGAACAGAACUAGCGAGUUGGUCCGCGCUGGAGGGAGAGGAACGAUAAAGGCACCGAUAAAGAGCGAAGAUGAAAUAAGAAACGUUUCGAGCGCGAGCGCGAUGGCGCGCCUCGACGAAGCGCGAAGAGAGCCAAGAAGAGGGCGGGAAAAAGGGGUCUUCAUUACGCCCUGAAAGGCUGCCGUUUUAAGAGCAAACGAAUAGGAAUAGUUAACAAUGAGACAGAGGCGCCUGGGAACGGAACCUGAAGAGGAAUAAAAUUCGCGCUUGAUACCGGUAGGCGAAGAAAGGCUCGCAAAUUAGAACAUCCUAUGUUUAAUUUAAAGACAUUUAAAGCGCCGUUUUCUAGCCUGCUAGUAGGAACUUCACGCGAGCAUCUGGAGAUUCCAGGGAAGAUGGAUUCGCUGGAUUCUCUCGCAGACACGUCAAAUAACACUAUAAUAUUAAUAGUACUAACACUAUUAAAUUAUAGAAGAUAAUGCCAAAUUAUAAAUACCAUACAAUGAUGUUAACUAAAGUAUGAUUAUUUUCUGUCCACGACCACUUCGACCAGAUAGUUUCAUUGAUAUUCUUCAAUAGAAAAAGAAUGUAAUGGGUUCACAAUAUAUUCUUAAAUGUCCACCCCCAUCGAGGAUUCUCCCAAAUACCAAUGAAUAUCGACUAUUCAACCUUUCCCUAAAAAUGUUAUUAUUCACAGAGCUGUUCUCCUAACAAAGUACCGUAAGAUACGGAUCACGAAACGCAGUGUUCAUUUAAGAAAAUAAGGAUUACGUCGGGAUCUCUGGCGGAACUUGAGUUAAGAAGAUUUCGCCCAAUCUGUGUCUCGCCCCCUCCCCUCCUCUCUGCCGUGCACAGCUCUUCGUCAAACGCAUUCCGCUUGAGAAAUAAUAACAUCAACGUAAAUUACGACGGUAAUUCCAAGCGCCACAUCCCGCGCAGUAUCCAGUCUUCGUUCGGCGAUAGUAUUCCGAGUCUUGUAAAGAAAAUCCCGCCGGCAAUCGUGCGGGAUUUCCAUCCAUGGAAUAACGUUUACGCGGGAAGGGAAGCUCUGCGAAGCUUGGCGUUUCCCUUCCCCCCCCCCCCCUCCUGGAUUCACCGAAACGAUACUAACGAAAGAGUCCGACCAUUCCAGCGUCGUUCUAUUCCUCCUUCGAGGCGGACCGACGAGUGCCAGUUGAAUCGUGAAAUUUCAUUCCCGACGCAUCCUACACCCACGGUCGAAUCGUGAAAAUUCAGUGCCUCGCGCCGACGGACACGAACGCAGCAAUGGGAGACACGAACACGAACACGAACACGGACACGUCGCCCGUUCCGCGACUGGGGAAACCCAGAAUCUCCGUUCGAGAGCCGUGUCGUGCUUAACUCCUCCGCGAAUCGGCGCGAACGUUUCCAUGUAAAUUGCCGCGAAAGAGCGUAAUCCGGUGGGAGAGCGUUCAUGCAGUCCGCUGGAAACCGCGGGACGUCGCGAACGUGAGCGUUCGCCAUCGACGUACAGGGUGGUCCAGCAAUCGUGAAACGACUUGGUGAUUCGCAAAAUUUACGGUCAAUUUUUAGAUAGAAGUACAUGCCAAUUGAAUGGACUAUGGAGCCUUAGAAAUGCUUACAGUGUUUUAAAGGAUAAUCGUGAAGAUCAUGACUAGACUAGUGCUAUAAUUAAUACAGUGAAGUAUGUAGAAAGAUGUUCAAGAUAUGAUUUGCUGAAAGAAUAAACGAGCAAGUUCAUGCAGCUUUACAGACAUGUUACCACACAGAAAUUUUAUCCACACAUAUCCAAGACCUACCAGCUGUUUGAUUUGGAGACAUGGUCAAGAAAAGACCACCCACCAUGAUCGAGAAACACAACUUUGAAAAUUCCGUAUUUUCCAUCUGUCUCUGCGCGAAGAACCCCUUCUCGGCAGUUGUGUCACGGCUGCUGUGCCACCCUGUAUUCGCUGCCCCCAGGCCGACAAUAGGAGGAAACUUCAGCAUUUUUCCCUUAUGCAUUAUGGAGAAGUCGGUUAUUAGGCGUAAAGCGAAGGUAAAGAGAGACGGAAUCCAUUUCCAAUAGCCUCUGUCCUCGGUCCAGGAUCGGCCCAUCGGGCCACUCGCGUGAUCGAGCGUCGCUCGCGAAAACACACGGUGAUACCUACCAGAACGCCAACGGAACAUCCCCUGUCUCCCGCUCGUCCCGACUGGAUAUGGAUUUCCAAUUCAGCCAGAUAUUUUCAAUAUCGUUGUCGCGUCUACGGCAUCCGCCAUUCUUUAGUCUUGUCUGCGUGAGUACCCGUUGGGCGUCGAUCGAAACGUGAAUGCGUGGUCCCGAAACAAAGUUGAAGUCUGGUUAGAAGUAUCAUUUAUUACUACGUUUCUCUAAUAAAUUGUAUUUUCAUUUGUAAUAUCGCGAUAUUAUACCCUCAAAGGUCUCUUAAAUCGUCUCCAGCUAUAUCUUACCAUCGCAGACAGUAGAUCCACGCAGAAGGUUGAACUAGAGAUGGAUCCAAGAGAAAACUUUUUCGACGAGCGGUGGCGGCGCCGCGGAACUUCGUGCGUCCCCCUUUCAGAGCCACGGCGGAAUUUUUUCGCCGCAUCGACGAGAACGAAGAUGAAAUCCUCGGCAAGCAUAAACUUAUCCGUGUCCAGUGACACCGAAUCCGUCCAACUAGAAAACAACGCCGAGGAAACCGAACGAACCGGCGCGUAUCGGACCUUAACGACAAUAACGCUGGAACGGGCGAAACGAAACUUUUCUGGACGGUUCUCUGGAAACGAUUCUCCGCGAUAUCACGAAAGCUCCGUCGUUAAGAAUUCAAUUAAGACUAAGAACCACGACCCCCUCC
Molecule: long non-coding RNA, 3048 nt
Organism: Hylaeus anthracinus
Lineage: Eukaryota; Metazoa; Arthropoda; Insecta; Hymenoptera; Colletidae
Exons: 3
Source: RefSeq, a predicted model, not a curated record